AGGCCUGCAGAGAGAGAGGCAGGGUCUGAUCCUCAGCUUCCAUGGCAGCUGUUGAUCAGCUGUUGCCUCUCUCUUUCUCUCCUGGC
Molecule: microRNA precursor, 86 nt
Filed under: Eptesicus fuscus (big brown bat)
Lineage: Eukaryota; Metazoa; Chordata; Mammalia; Chiroptera; Vespertilionidae
Description: microRNA efu-mir-9201a precursor (efu-mir-9201a-1)
Rfam family: mir-9201 microRNA precursor family
Source: miRBase by way of RNAcentral